Non-coding RNA from Hordeum vulgare subsp. vulgare (domesticated barley), 136 nucleotides. Lineage: Eukaryota; Viridiplantae; Streptophyta; Magnoliopsida; Poales; Poaceae. The record is from Rfam.
GUAGUACUCCCUCCGUCCCAAAAUUCUUGUCUUAGAUUUGUUUAGAUAUGAAUGUACCUAGUCAUGUUUUAGUAUUUAGAUACAUCUGUUUCUAGACAAACAUAAGACAAGAAUUUUGGGACGGAGGGAUUAGUUG